RNAcentral lists this ribosomal RNA (253 nucleotides) under uncultured bacterium. Its description in RNAcentral is "partial 16S ribosomal RNA". It matches the Rfam family "Bacterial small subunit ribosomal RNA", at positions 524 to 776 of the family's 1533-position model. The record is from RNAcentral.
UACGUAGGGGGCUAGCGUUGUCCGGAAUCAUUGGGCGUAAAGCGCGCGUAGGCGGCCCGGUAAGUCCGCUGUAAAAGUCCAGGGCUCAACCCUGGAAAGCCGGUGGAUACUGCCGGGCUAGAGUCCGGAAGAGGCGAGUGGAAUUCCUGGUGUAGCGGUGAAAUGCGCAGAUAUCAGGAAGAACACCAAUGGCGAAAGCAGCUCUCUGGGACGGUACUGACGCUGAGACGCGAAAGCGUGGGGAACGAACAGG